GCGAGCCACAUGCAGGGAAACUUGCACGUGUGGUUCUGGUCGGGCUUUCCUGAGGUAUCUAAUAACCUUUCUUCUGCUCGCCGAUCAUGAAUCGAAC
Solanum tuberosum (potato) is the source of this 97-nucleotide non-coding RNA. NCBI's taxonomy places the organism in Eukaryota, Viridiplantae, Streptophyta, Magnoliopsida, Solanales, Solanaceae. The record is from Rfam.